RNAcentral lists this ribosomal RNA (253 nucleotides) under uncultured bacterium. Its description in RNAcentral is "partial 16S ribosomal RNA". It matches the Rfam family "Bacterial small subunit ribosomal RNA", at positions 524 to 776 of the family's 1533-position model. The record is from RNAcentral.
AACGUAGGACGCAAGCGUUAUCCGGAAUUACUGGGCGUAAAGCGCGUGUAGGCGGUUUUAUAAGUCACUGUUGAAAGCUCCUGGCUAAACUGGGAGAGGUGCGGUGAGACUGUAGAGCUAGAGUGUGGGAGAGGGGUGCGGAAUUCCGGGUGUAGUGGUGAAAUGCGUAGAGAUCCGGAGGAACACCAGAGGCGAAGGCGGCGCCCUGGCCUAAUACUGACACUGAGACGCGAAAGCAUGGGGAGCGAACGGG